RNAcentral lists this ribosomal RNA (619 nucleotides) under uncultured Lachnospiraceae bacterium. Its description in RNAcentral is "bacterial SSU rRNA". It matches the Rfam family "Bacterial small subunit ribosomal RNA", at positions 66 to 687 of the family's 1533-position model. The record is from RNAcentral. Lineage: Bacteria; Bacillati; Bacillota; Clostridia; Lachnospirales; Lachnospiraceae.
ACGGGAAAUAUUUCAUUGAGACUUCGGUGGAUUUGAUCUAUUUCUAGUGGCGGACGGGUGAGUAACGCGUGGGUAACCUGCCUUAUACAGGGGGAUAACAGUCAGAAAUGGCUGCUAAUACCGCAUAAGCGCACAGAGCUGCAUGGCUCAGUGUGAAAAACUCCGGUGGUAUAAGAUGGACCCGCGUUGGAUUAGCUAGUUGGUGGGGUAACGGCCCACCAAGGCGACGAUCCAUAGCCGGCCUGAGAGGGUGAACGGCCACAUUGGGACUGAGACACGGCCCAGACUCCUACGGGAGGCAGCAGUGGGGAAUAUUGCACAAUGGGGGAAACCCUGAUGCAGCGACGCCGCGUGAAGGAAGAAGUAUCUCGGUAUGUAAACUUCUAUCAGCAGGGAAGAUAGUGACGGUACCUGACUAAGAAGCCCCGGCUAACUACGUGCCAGCAGCCGCGGUAAUACGUAGGGGGCAAGCGUUAUCCGGAUUUACUGGGUGUAAAGGGAGCGUAGACGGUGUGGCAAGUCUGAUGUGAAAGGCAUGGGCUCAACCUGUGGACUGCAUUGGAAACUGUCAUACUUGAGUGCCGGAGGGGUAAGCGGAUUCCUAGUGUAGCGGUGAAAU